Molecule: transfer RNA, 62 nt
Filed under: Elliptio icterina
Lineage: Eukaryota; Metazoa; Mollusca; Bivalvia; Unionida; Unionidae
Description: tRNA-Gly
Source: RNAcentral
AUGCUGAUAGUAUAUUUAGUACAAUUGCCUUCCAAGCAGAAAGACCAAAAAUGGACAGCAUA